CGAAAUGGGUCAUCGCUUUGGAGAUAGAUAUAGGUCCCGCGGUUCGAUGGGAUGGCCGGCCGGACAUCUUCACACCUAGAGUCGCUACGGAAAACUAAAGCGCAUCGUGGAUCACUCCUUGCGGGAAGGCAGCUGCUAAUCUGCCAAGCCCGGCCGCCGGCCUGAAACUCGACCCUCUUCUGCUAAAAUUCAGCGGCACUUCCUCCGCCGAGUGAAUAAACAACGACGAGGGCGCCCGACGAGGCGCCGAGUGUUAAAUCCGCACGCAAGCACCGCGUCCCGGUCAGACACCAACCAACCAACCAGCUCCGAGGUCCCACAAUCCACGCCCCGCAGCCGGCCACGAUGUGCACCCUGGAGCAGCGCGGCCGCGUGUUCGUCCUCACCCUCACGGGCGACGGCGAGCACCGCCUGGGCCACCCGCUCAUCGCCUCCAUCCGCUCCGCGCUCGCCUCCGUGCUCGCGGCGGCCCAGGCCCAGCCCCAGGGCCCGGGGGCGGCCCUGGUGACCGUCGCCGAGGGCCGCUUCUUCUCCAACGGGCUCGACGUCGGGCGGGCGGGCGGCUCCCGCGCGCGGCUCCGGGAGCUCGUCGACGCGUUCCGCCCCAUCGCCGCCGACCUGCUGGCGCUCCCCAUGCCCACCGUGGCCGCCGUCACGGGCCACGCCUCCGCCGCCGGGCUCCUCCUCGCGCUCUGCCACGACUACCGCCUCAUGCGCGCCGACCGCGGCGUGCUCUACAUGGGCCUCCCGCUCCCGCCCUACGUCGCGCGCCUGCUCCGCGCCAAGAUUACCCAGGCGCACGCGCUCCGGGACGUCGCGCUGCGCGGGAGGAAGCUCAGGGCGCCCGAGGCCAGGGAGAUGGGGAUCGUCGACGCCGUCUGCGCCGGCGCGCCCGAGACCGCCGCCGAGGCCGUCAAGCUCGCCGAGCAGCUCGCGGCCAGGGAGUGGGACGGCGCCGUGUACGCGUCCAUCAGGGUCUCCACGUUCCCCGAUGCGUGCAGGGCCGUCGGGAUUGCCGUGGAGAGCGACGAGGAGAAGAGCAGGCACUUCGCUUCCAGACUCUGAUCAGGGGAGAUGGGGAGGUCAGUCUCCUCUGCAACUCUGUAUCCCCAGUCUCUGACGAGGUGUUUGCUGAACUUUCUGAAUAAUGGAGAUCGCUAUUCUCUACUUGUAGUACCUGAGAGUAGCUUCGAUCUGAUUCAGGUCAUCACAAGACACAGCUAGAGGGCUCACUCUAAUUGUGCUUAGCAUUUUGUUUUGUUUGUAUAAUUCCAGUUAGAGAUGAAGCGGCACAAUCUGCGAGCAAGGCGUGAGUACCCGAGCUAUUAGCUGUGCUUAACUAACACUAUGUACAGCCUUGUGAAAUCUGAAUACGACUGCACCAAGAUUUGUCUCAUCAUAGUUCUUGCCUACAAUCUUUCUUCAAGCUCCUGAACGGACCUGCCUUUUCUCCUGCAGAGUGUCUCUCUUGUAUUCUGCAACUGUACAUUGAUCAACCGUCGAUGAUCUGAAUGAAGCAGGCACUACAUACUACUUCUGCAGACGUUGUAUUUCUCUUGCUUUGGAAGUGUGAAAUAAACAGAAUGCCUGUGUGUGUGACUGUUGGACUGAUUAUUUUGCUGCUGCUGCAGUGAGAUUCUCAUCUACAAAAUCGACAUAUGACGUGCCAGGAUGCAUUUUGUUCUUUCGAUAUUUUUUCUUUAUUGGAACCAUGUGAAAGACGAGAUUGAUUGACCA
This 1737-nucleotide ribosomal RNA is filed under the name Triticum aestivum (bread wheat). RNAcentral describes it as "partial small subunit ribosomal RNA". The record is from RNAcentral. Lineage: Eukaryota; Viridiplantae; Streptophyta; Magnoliopsida; Poales; Poaceae.